GAUGAACGCUGGCGGCGUGCCUAAUACAUGCAAGUCGAGCGAACAGACGAGGAGCUUGCUCCUCUGACGUUAGCGGCGGACGGGUGAGUAACACGUGGAUAACCUACCUAUAAGACUGGGAUAACUUCGGGAAACCGUGGCUAAUACCGGAUAAUAUAUUGAACCGCAUGGUUCAAUAGUUAAAGAAGGUUUUGCUGUCACUUAUAGAUGGCUCCGCGCCGCAUUAGCUAGUUGGUGAGGUAACGGCUUACCAACGCAACGAUGCGUAGCCGCCCUGAGAGGGUGAUCGGCCACACUGGAACUGAGACACGGUCCAGACUCCUACGGGAGGCAGCAGUAGGGAAUCUUCCGCAAUGGGCGAAAGCCUGACGGAGCAACGUCGCGUGAGUGAUGAAGGUCUUCGGAUCGUAAAACGCUGUUAUUAGGGAAGAACAAAUGUGUAAGUAACUAUGCACGUCUUGACGGUACCUAAUCAGAAAGCCACGGCUAACUACGUG
This 497-nucleotide ribosomal RNA is filed under the name uncultured bacterium. Its description in RNAcentral is "partial 16S ribosomal RNA". It matches the Rfam family "Bacterial small subunit ribosomal RNA", at positions 28 to 507 of the family's 1533-position model. The record is from RNAcentral.